This is a long non-coding RNA of Parus major (Great Tit), 517 nucleotides long. RefSeq lists it as uncharacterized. NCBI's taxonomy places the organism in Eukaryota, Metazoa, Chordata, Aves, Passeriformes, Paridae. The record is from RefSeq and is a predicted model, not a curated record. The transcript has 3 exons.
CCAGCUGGGAAGAGAAGACCCAGUAUAACAUGAAAGAACACCAGCAGAGAUACCACUAGAGAUAAGAGGUUGCUACACAAGCUUCAGUCCCUGUAAACAUGACUAAGUAGAUAAUAAUUAAACCUAAUGCUUAUUCUUAGAAUAAUUCGUUGACCUAGAAAAUCUGUUUUCUAGAUUAAGCACACGUUUAAUGUGUUCAAAACAAAACCAUGAAAAAGGCAUCUUUAGUGUCUAAUUGUUCAUCCAAACAGGAUAGACUUGAAUCACACACAGACUGGAAGCUGGAAGUGCAAUACCUAACCUCUACUACCUUCCCCAGAUGGAUAUAGAGCCUACAGUCAGGUUCUUGAACAGAUUGUCCCUGUGCACCCAUGUCGUUCCACACGAAAACUUUUCCCUCACCUUGAGAUUCAUUUUCAGCCAUUUCAGGCAUCUUUAAUGAAGUUGCGGCAGGACUGGACAACCUCCGUCAUCUGAAGGUAGCUGGCCACCGACAUCACUUCAAUGGCAUUUUGGC